This 406-nucleotide ribosomal RNA is filed under the name uncultured bacterium. RNAcentral describes it as "bacterial SSU rRNA". It matches the Rfam family "Bacterial small subunit ribosomal RNA", at positions 355 to 776 of the family's 1533-position model. The record is from RNAcentral.
UGAGGAAUUUUCUGCAAUGGGCGAAAGCCUGACAGAGCAAUACCGCGUGAAGGAUGACAGCUUAUGAGUUGUAAACUUCUUUUUUCAAGGAGGAAGAUCUGACGUUACUUGAAGAAUAAGCAUCGGCUAACUCUGUGCCAGCAGCCGCGGUAAUACAGAGGAUGCAAGUGUUAUCCGGAAUUAUUGGGCGUAAAGCGUCUGUAGGUGGAUAUUUAAGUCUUUUGUUAAAUCUUUAGGCUCAACCUAAAUUCUGCAAAAGAAACUAUUUAUCUAGAGUAUAGUAGAGGUAAAGGGAAUUUCCAGUGGAGUAGUGAAAUGCGUAGAUAUUGGAAAGAACACCAAAGGCGAAGGCACUUUACUGGGCUAUUACUGACACUCAGAGACGAAAGCUAGGGGAGCAAAAGGG